AUUUCUACAAAAGACAUCAAACUGAGGCUGGAUGCAAUCUGAGGGAUGGUGGGAAGAGAUGAAGGGAUGGAAGAAGACUGAAGGAGACAACAUAUGUAGGUUGGAAGAGAUGCUGCCUGGCAUGCUGAGUGUUGUUCUACUUUACAGAAU
This is a long non-coding RNA of Mobula hypostoma (lesser devil ray), 150 nucleotides long. RefSeq lists it as uncharacterized. NCBI's taxonomy places the organism in Eukaryota, Metazoa, Chordata, Chondrichthyes, Myliobatiformes, Myliobatidae. The record is from RefSeq and is a predicted model, not a curated record. The transcript is spliced from 3 exons.